This 553-nucleotide ribosomal RNA is filed under the name uncultured Rhizophagus. Its description in RNAcentral is "SSU rRNA". It matches the Rfam family "Eukaryotic small subunit ribosomal RNA", at positions 548 to 1098 of the family's 1831-position model. Lineage: Eukaryota; Fungi; Glomeromycota; Glomeromycetes; Glomerales; Glomeraceae. The record is from RNAcentral.
UUGGAGGGCAAGUCUGGUGCCAGCAGCCGCGGUAAUUCCAGCUCCAAUAGCGUAUAUUAAAGUUGUUGCAGUUAAAAAGCUCGUAGUUGAAUUUCGGGAUCAAUAUUUCGGUCAUGCCGUUGGUAUGCACUGUUAUCAUUGAUUUCUCACCUUCUAAAGAACCGUAAUGCCAUUAAUUUGGUGUUACGGGGAAUUAGGACUGUUACCUUGAAAAAAUUAGAGUGUUUAAAGCAGGCAUUUUUGCUUGAAUACAUUAGCAUGGAAUAAUAAAAUAGGACGGCAUGAUUCUAUUUUGUUGGUUUCUAGGAUCACCGUAAUGAUUAAUAGGGAUAGUUGGGGGCAUUAGUAUUCAAUUGUCAGAGGUGAAAUUCUUGGAUUUAUUGAAGACUAACUACUGCGAAAGCAUUUGCCAAGGAUGUUUUCAUUAAUCAAGAACGAAAGUUAGGGGAUCGAAGACGAUCAGAUACCGUCGUAGUCUUAACCAUAAACUAUGCCGACUAGGGAUCGGAUGAUGUUAAUUUUUUAAUGACUCAUUCGGCGCCUUACGGGAAAC